AAGUCGUAACAAGGUUUCCGUAGGUGAACCUGCGGAAGGAUCAUUAACACGUAUCCAACGUUAAACCCCCCGUGAAAGCGGCAAUCCCUGGUAAAUCAUCGCCGAACAGUUUUGAUUCAGGGACUUCUGUGGAGCGCGGAAAACGAGGCGAGGCAAGUGGUCUGGCAUCCCUCUGCUUGUUAGUGUCUGACAGUGUCACUAGCUCUGUAAGGAUGGCGCAGUAACGAUCGCUAGAGGCCGACACGGCCGGCGACCGGACCGCCGGGCUAUACGCUCCUUUAUCACCUUUGCAUGAAAACGGGCCUGCGCUUAAUUGUGCGGCCACCAAAAACCGAACAACUGUUAACAAUGGAUAUCUUGGUUCUC
This 366-nucleotide unclassified non-coding RNA is filed under the name fungal sp. Its description in RNAcentral is "partial internal transcribed spacer region". The stretch from base 1 to 46 matches the Rfam family "Eukaryotic small subunit ribosomal RNA", at positions 1786 to 1831 of the family's 1831-position model. The record is from RNAcentral. Lineage: Eukaryota; Fungi.